AAUUCGAUUGAGUUUGAUCAUGGCUCAGGACGAACGCUGGCGGCGUGCUUAACACAUGCAAGUCGAGCGAGGUCCAUCCAGUGGCAACACUGGGGAAGACCUAGCGGCGAACGGGUGAGUAACACGUGAGCAACCUGCCCCGAAGACUGGGAUAACACCGGGAAACCGGUGCUAAUACCGGAUGUCCUCCUCUGGUCGCAUGGCCUAGGGAGGAAACGAAUUUUGCUCCUGGAGGGGCUCGCGGGCUAUCAGCUUGUUGGUGGGGUAACGGCUCACCAAGGCGACGACGGCUAGCUGGUCUGAGAGGACGACCAGCCACACUGGGACUGAGACACGGCCCAGACUCCUACGGGAGGCAGCAGUGGGGAAUCUUGCGCAAUGGGCGAAAGCCUGACGCAGCAACGCCGCGUGGGGGAUGAAGGCCUUCGGGUUGUAAACCCCUUUCAGCAGGGACGAAUCUGACGGUACCUGCAGAAGAAGCCCCGGCCAACUACGUGCCAGCAGCCGCGGUAAUACGUAGGGGGCGAGCGUUGUCCGGAUUUAUUGGGCGUAAAGAGCUCGUAGGCGGCUUGGCAAGUCGGGUGUGAAACCUCCAGGCUCAACCUGGAGACGCCACUCGAUACUGCUAUGGCUAGAGUCCGGUAGGGGACCACGGAAUUCCUGGUGUAGCGGUGAAAUGCGCAGAUAUCANGAGGAACACCGGUGGCGAAGGCGGUGGUCUGGGCCGGCACUGACGCUGAGGAGCGAAAGCGUGGUAGCAAACAGGAUUAGAUACCCUGGUAGUCCACGCCGUAAACGUUGGGC
RNAcentral lists this ribosomal RNA (804 nucleotides) under uncultured bacterium. Its description in RNAcentral is "bacterial SSU rRNA". It matches the Rfam family "Bacterial small subunit ribosomal RNA", at positions 1 to 814 of the family's 1533-position model. The record is from RNAcentral.